This 810-nucleotide ribosomal RNA is filed under the name uncultured Pseudomonas sp. RNAcentral's name for it is "bacterial SSU rRNA". It matches the Rfam family "Bacterial small subunit ribosomal RNA", at positions 32 to 810 of the family's 1533-position model. Lineage: Bacteria; Pseudomonadati; Pseudomonadota; Gammaproteobacteria; Pseudomonadales; Pseudomonadaceae. The record is from RNAcentral.
AGGGGGGGCAGGGCUAACACAUGCAAGUCGAGCGGUAGCACAGAGAGCUUGCUCUCGGGUGACGAGCGGCGGACGGGUGAGUAAUGUCUGGGAAACUGCCUGAUGGAGGGGGAUAACUACUGGAAACGGUAGCUAAUACCGCAUAACGUCGCAAGACCAAAGUGGGGGACCUUCGGGCCUCAUGCCAUCAGAUGUGCCCAGAUGGGAUUAGCUAGUAGGUGGGGUAACGGCUCACCUAGGCGACGAUCCCUAGCUGGUCUGAGAGGAUGACCAGCCACACUGGAACUGAGACACGGUCCAUACUCCUACGGGAGGCAGCAGUGGGGAAUAUUGCACAAUGGGCGCAACUCUGAUGCAGCCAUGCCGCGUGUGUGAAGAAGGCCUUCGGGUUGUAAAGCACUUUCAGCGGGGAGGAAGGCGAUAAUGUUAAUAUCCUUGUCGAUUGACGUUACCCGCAGAAGACGCACCAACUAUCUUCGUGUCCUUUUCCGUGGAUAUACGGAGGGUCAAGGAUUUACUCUGAUUUAAUGGAAUCAUAUCCCGCCUUCGAGGGGAACUGUCAAGUCCAUAUGUAAAAUCCCCGGCUCUCACCCUGGAAACUGCCUUCGAAACUGGGCAGGUUAUUAGUCUUGUAGAGGGGGGGUAAAAUUUCCCGGGUGAUCACCGGAGAAAAUGCCUAAUAUAUCUGGAAGGAAACACCGGUGGUCAAAGGCGCCCCCCUGAACAAAACACUGACUCUCAGGUGCAAAAAGCGUGGGAGAAACAACACAGAGAUUAACAUAACCCUGGGAAACUCCCCCCCCAGAUAAG